GGGGGUAUGGCUCAGUGGUACAGCGUAUGCUUAGCAUGCACAAGGUCCUCGGAUUCAAUCCCCAAUAUCUCCA
RNAcentral lists this transfer RNA (73 nucleotides) under Camelus bactrianus (Bactrian camel). It matches the Rfam family "tRNA". Rfam says of the family: Transfer RNA (tRNA) molecules are approximately 80 nucleotides in length. RNAcentral also lists the same sequence under 2 other names. The record is from Rfam by way of RNAcentral. Lineage: Eukaryota; Metazoa; Chordata; Mammalia; Artiodactyla; Camelidae.